This 467-nucleotide ribosomal RNA is filed under the name uncultured bacterium. RNAcentral describes it as "partial 16S ribosomal RNA". It matches the Rfam family "Bacterial small subunit ribosomal RNA", at positions 28 to 506 of the family's 1533-position model. The record is from RNAcentral.
GACGAACGCUGGCGGCGUGCUUAACACAUGCAAGUCGAACGGAAAGGCCCUGCUUUUGUGGGGUGCUCGAGUGGCGAACGGGUGAGUAACACGUGAGUAACCUGCCCUUGACUUUGGGAUAACUUCAGGAAACUGGGGCUAAUACCGGAUAGGAGCUCCUGCUGCAUGGUGGGGGUUGGAAAGUUUCGGCGGUUGGGGAUGGACUCGCGGCUUAUCAGCUUGUUGGUGGGGUAGUGGCUUACCAAGGCUUUGACGGGUAGCCGGCCUGAGAGGGUGACCGGCCACUGUGGGGGUAGGGACGGGCCCAGACCCCGAGGGGGGGCAGGAGUGGGGAAUAUGGGCAAAGGGGCGGAAGCCUGAUGCAGAAACCCCGGGGGGGGGAGGAGGGCCUUCGGGUGGAAAACCGUUUUCGCCUGGGACGAGCCGGGGGGGGCGGGAAUGGGUAAAGAAGCCCCGGCUAACUCAGU